GGUUAAGUGACUAAGCGUACAUGGUGGAUGCCUUGGCAGUCAGAGGCGAUGAAGGACGUACUAACCUGCGAUAAGCCGUGAGCAGUCGGUAAGAGACAUUACGACUCACGGAUUUCCGAAUGGGGAAACCCACUUAGCAUAAGCUAGGUAUCGCUACGUGAAUACAUAGCGUAGCGAGGCGAACCGGGAGAACUGAAACAUCUAAGUACCCCGAGGAAAAGAAAUCAACCGAGAUUCCCUCAGUAGCGGCGAGCGAACGGGGAUUAGCCCUUAAGCAUCUUGGA
Molecule: ribosomal RNA, 284 nt
Filed under: Aeromonas sp. SrichE-2G
Lineage: Bacteria; Pseudomonadati; Pseudomonadota; Gammaproteobacteria; Aeromonadales; Aeromonadaceae
Description: partial 23S ribosomal RNA
Rfam family: Bacterial large subunit ribosomal RNA
Source: RNAcentral